UUUUCUUUUCUUCUUUUCCUUUUUGUUUUCCCGUCAUUUCUAUCUGAAUUCCCCUAUUUCUUUUCCUCCUUUUGUUUCUUACGAUCUCAAAUCCCUAAUACCCAAUCCCUUAAACAAAAAAUCCCCAAAAUACGAUACUAUCUCUCUCUCUUUCACGACUGCAAAUAGCGACAGUGGCAGUAGCAGCAACAAGGAGGGACGACAACGAGCAGCAAGCAACGAUGGUGAGCAGCGAGUGACGACAGCUAGCAGCGGCGACUACCACUGCCGUCGCCACCACCUCCUCCCUCACCGCCCUCUCUCUCUUCUUUUAUUCUUUUCACUGAUCUUCAUCGGUCGUCUACUUCGUCUUCUCCACUCUCGUCAUCGGUUCCAAAACCCCAACCAUACCUUUAAUCUUCUUCAAUCCCUCCACAACCCAUAUGUUCGAAUCCAGAGCCUACACUUCCCUCAACUGUUUCAGAACUUUUCUUUACAUAGGACUACCACUGGACUCGUCAGAAUGGCAAUCUCGAACAGGCUGAUUGCGAUGAGAAAGAUCAGGCGGCGAGGCACAUUAAUGCGUCAGAAAUGAAAUCGAAAGAUGGAUAGUUCAUCUGUGCCCUAAUUUUUCUCUCAAUUUCUGUUCAAAUGGGAUUCUCAGAUUGGUCUUAAUGUGAUUUCCCUUGCACCUCAUUCAGGUUGCACAACAGAAGUUAUCUUAAUUGAGGCCUAUCUGCAGAAAACUAGAGAAGAGAAACAAACGAAGGUUUCUUCACAAUUAUGUUCACCUAAGAAAUUUUCUGAAUUUGCUUUUGCAUAGCUUGGAAUUGCUUCACAUUCUCUUCUUUCCUCAGUUGCAUUUCCCGUAGAGCUGGGGUGUACAGGUACCAGAACGCAGCUAGAAGCGUCAGAGUAGACUCCUGUUUUGUCAAGCCAACCUAUGUGCCUCACUGCGAGGUUCCAAGCUUGCCAUGCUACGGCUUAGGGCUCUUUUAUUUCCCCCUUCUGUCUCUGUAUCUGUUUUGUGAACUGUAUAGGCUGAUAGCACUGUACUGUACUACUCUAUAAGGGAUUGAGUCCCUAUUCGGAAUGAAUGUAAAUAUUGUACAUACU
Molecule: non-coding RNA, 1095 nt
Organism: Camellia sinensis
Lineage: Eukaryota; Viridiplantae; Streptophyta; Magnoliopsida; Ericales; Theaceae
Source: RefSeq, a predicted model, not a curated record